Molecule: ribosomal RNA, 381 nt
Filed under: uncultured marine Chaetocerotaceae
Lineage: Eukaryota; Bacillariophyta; Thalassiosirophyceae; Chaetocerotales; Chaetocerotaceae
Description: SSU rRNA
Rfam family: Eukaryotic small subunit ribosomal RNA
Source: RNAcentral
AGCUCCAAUAGCGUAUAUUAAAGUUGCUGCAGUUAAAAAGCUCGUAGUUGCAUUUCCGAGGCAAGGGAUUAGUCCGACCUUUGGUGGGUAUUUAAUCCUCUUGCCUCAUCCUUGAGUGGUGCUUCUUGGUAUUAAGUUAUCGAGGAGAUAGCCGCUCAUCGUUUACUGUGAGAAAAUUAGAGUGUUCAAAGCAGGCUUAUGCCGUUGAAUAUAUUAGCAUGGAAUAAUAAGAUAGGACCUCGGUACUAUUUUGUUGGUUUGAGAACCAAGGUAAUGAUAAAUAGGGACAGUUGGGAGUAUUCGUAUUCAGUUGUCAGAGGUGAAAUUCUUAGAUUUACGGAAGACGAACUACUGCGAAAGCAUUUACCAAGGAUGUUUUCA